This 171-nucleotide ribosomal RNA is filed under the name uncultured bacterium. Its description in RNAcentral is "partial 16S ribosomal RNA". It matches the Rfam family "Bacterial small subunit ribosomal RNA", at positions 338 to 524 of the family's 1533-position model. The record is from RNAcentral.
CUUACGCGAGGCAGCAGUGGGGAAUCCAGCACAAUGGAGGCAAUCGCCUGAUCUAGCCAUGCCGCGUGAGUGAUGAAGGCCUUCGGGUUGUAAACCUCUUUUUUCUGGGAAGAAAAUGUCAGUACUAGUAGAAGAAUGCCCGGCUAUUUCCUUGCCAGCAGCCGCGGUAUU